AAUCAACGCUGGCGGCGUGCCUCAGACAUGCAAGUCGAACGAGAAGGCUCCUUCGGGAGCCGGAAAGUGGCGCACGGGUGAGUAACACGUGGGUAAUUUGCCUUCGGGUGGGGAACGAACAGCCGGAAACGGGCUGCUAAUACCGCAUAAUGCAGCGGCACCUAAUGGUGACAGCUGUUAAAGCGGGGAUCGCAAGACCUCGCGCCUGAAGAGAAGCCUGCGGCAGAUUAGGUAGUUGGUGAGGUAAUGGCUCACCAAGCCUGCGAUCUGUAGCCGGCCUGAGAGGGCGGUCGGCCACACUGACACUGGACGAACGGGUCAGACUCCUACGGGAGGCAGCAGUCGGGAAUUUUGGGCAAUGGGCGNAAGGCCUGACCCAGCAACGCCGCGUGAAGGA
RNAcentral lists this ribosomal RNA (397 nucleotides) under uncultured bacterium. RNAcentral's name for it is "bacterial SSU rRNA". It matches the Rfam family "Bacterial small subunit ribosomal RNA", at positions 29 to 408 of the family's 1533-position model. The record is from RNAcentral.